Molecule: long non-coding RNA, 643 nt
Organism: Dermochelys coriacea (leatherback sea turtle)
Lineage: Eukaryota; Metazoa; Chordata; Testudines; Dermochelyidae
Exons: 3
Source: RefSeq, a predicted model, not a curated record
CUGAGGGGAGAGAUUCCUCAGGGGGGACUGUGUAGGAAGCUACUCCUAGUGGUGCCUCCUUGGGAACAGAGGCUCAGAGAGAGAGAGAGGAACAGUCCUCUAGCAUAUUGUUUUGGACCUGCUGCUAUCGGAACAGCCAAUGACAUUGGAGAGUGACAUGGAAAUGCAAUGCUGAUUACAGCGAUGGUCAAAUCCUAGAGGUCUUCAUUCAGAAUUUCCUGGAAGAAUUGAUGGGAGAGGGAGAGGAGUCAGAUCCUUUGGAGUCAUCUUGGCAGUGUGCUCUUUAUAGAUGACUGCUAGAAAAGAGAGACAAGGUGGAUGAGGUAAUCUUUUUUUUUUUUUUUUUUUUUUUUUUUAUUGGACCAACUUCUGUUGGUGAGAGAGAGGCUUUUGAGCAUACACAGAGCUCUUCUUCAGGUCAGUGAAACUUACUCAGAGUGUCACAGCUAAAUACAAGGUGAAACAGUUUGUUUAGCAUAAGUAGUUAACACACAUUUCAAGGGACUAUUCAAGGCGAAGUGGCCCAUAAAGUCAUAGAGCGGCGGGGGGAGGGUUGUUAGUCAGUUAUAGAUUGUUGUAAUAGGCCAUAGAUCAAGUGUGUCUAUUCAGGCAAGAUUUUUAUUGUCUAGCAAAAUUAUGAAUU